RNAcentral lists this ribosomal RNA (253 nucleotides) under uncultured bacterium. RNAcentral's name for it is "partial 16S ribosomal RNA". It matches the Rfam family "Bacterial small subunit ribosomal RNA", at positions 524 to 776 of the family's 1533-position model. The record is from RNAcentral.
UACGUAGGGUGCAAGCGUUAAUCGGAAUUACUGGGCGUAAAGCGUGCGCAGGUGGUUAUGUAAGACGGAUGUGAAAUCCCUGGGCUCAACCUAGGAACUGCAUUCGUGACUGCAUGGCUAGAGUGCGGCAGAGGGGGGUAGAAUUCCGCGUGUAGCAGUGAAAUGCGUAGAUAUGCGGAGGAACACCGAUGGCGAAGGCAGCCCCCUGGGCCUGCACUGACACUCGUGCACGAAAGCGUGGGGAGCAAACAGG